Non-coding RNA from Pelobates cultripes (western spadefoot toad), 202 nucleotides. Lineage: Eukaryota; Metazoa; Chordata; Amphibia; Anura; Pelobatidae. The record is from the annotation of a GenBank genome assembly.
CCUGCACUGUGAAUGUUUACAUAGUGUGUUCAAUAAAAACAUAGCAACAUUUCAUUCUUUGUGUGUUAUUAGUUUAAGCAGACUGUGAUUGUCUAUUGUUGUGACUUAUAUGAUGAUCAGAUCACAUUUUAUGACCAAUUUGUGCAGAAAUCCAUAUCAUUCCAAAGGGUUCACAUACUUUUUCUUGCAACUGUAUUUCCUA